GUCCCUCUCUGGCCCAGAAGGCUUCCGGGAUAUUCACAUAUUCUGAAUCGCCCCCAAGUGCCAAAGUUGGGGAAGGAGGAGGAUAACAUGUUCCCGAGGAGGGACCUCUGACCCAGCUGCCUGGUCCAGAGCCCAUCACAUCACAGCCUCCUUGAGCUUAAGAGCAUUAGACGGCAUUUGAGCACUAUGCCUGGGAGCCAAUUCAAACAGUGAAACCACCAACAGAAAGCACAAAAGUGUGAAACACACAGCACUAAAUAGACCGUGAAGAUGGCACGUUCAUGGUGUGAGAGCUGAAACCAGGAGGUGGAAAGUUGCCUAGUUUGACAUCAGCCGGGAAGCAGCAUGCGGAGCAAUGCCUGUGACCCAGAUUACUGCCACCCAUUUUAUGGAUGAAGAAACUAUGGUUGAGUGGAUGCCCAAGGCCAUGCUGCUACAGUGUAUUUGAGCUGGGAUCCAAGCUCCUGGUUACACGCUUCCAACCACAAAUCCAUACAACUCAUCUGUUCUAUUUCUUCUGGCUGGAACAACUUUCUCUCCUCUAGCUGCCUGGAAAACUCCUACCUGGCCUUCAAAACUCAGAUCCAAUGCCUCCUCCUCUGUGAAGCCUUCUCUGAUCCCACUCCAGACAGUUUCAUCUGCUUGGUACCCAGAGCAUCAUGCAUAUGUCUUUACUACAUUGCUCAUCAAUCUAUUCUGAAAUGAUAUGAACAAUACUCAUUUCCCCCCUCAAACUCUAAAUUCUAUUAUCACAGAGCUAAGUUUUCUUACUCCUUUACAUCAUUGACUGACACUGGAAAAUGCUGCCAAUGAAGCAGCCCAUUCCAUUUUUGCUUGGAUUUCACUGUUAGAAAGUUCUUUGUUAGGGUGAACCACACAGCUGGCCUCACUAACAUCCACCUCCUGGGAGGAGGAAGCAGUUGGUUCUACCAUCUUCCUCUCAUAGAAGCUCUUCAGAUGCUGAGCACACCUGUCACCUGUCCCAAGGGGCGUCCCUGAUCAUGUCCUGUGUUGUCCCCAGCCAUUUCCUAUAGAACUUCCCACUCUCUUCCCUCUAAACACAAAGAGCUUUUCCCUUUAACUCCUUAUUUGUCAUUGGUAUCAUGAAGGAGACUAUGGGGUCCACAGAAGCUGGGACAUUCCCUGGGUGAGUCUCCUCUGAAUGUCUUAUGUCCAGCCCAGCAUGUGACUCAUUUUGUUGAAUAUGUGGGUGAAUGGUUGGUUGAGGUCUUGAAUGUGAUAGAAAAAUCAGGAUGGUGAAUAAUUAAAGAUAGGUUUAAGGGCCAUCUGAGUGAGAAUGGCAGCCUUAGGGCAAAAAUUUCCAGUGACACCCUCAAUAGAAUCUUCUUUAAAUGUCCAGUCUUGCUGCUUCACUAACUACUCACAGAUGGGAAUGGACAUUAUUUCUGUCCUGCGUUGUCCAUUGUUGGAGUAGUGGGUGGUUCACGGUAUUUCAGGGCAAUCUGGGUUUGUCUGGGGGCUUAGAGUUUGCCAAGGCAGUUGAAUAUUCCUGAUUUAAGUUUGCAGCUCCUUUAGUCUGUGAUCGUCUUUCUUUCUUUCUUUCUUUUUUUUUUUUUGAAGAUUGGCACCUGAGCUAACAUCUGUUGGUAAUCUUCUUUUGUUUCUCUUCUCCCCAAAGCCCCCCGUACAUAGUUGUAUAUUCUAGUUGUAGGGCCUUCUGGCUCUGCUACAUGGGACACUGCCUCAGCAUGGCUUGAUGAGUGGUGCUAGGUCCGCGCACAAGGUCCAAACUGGUGAAACCCUGGGCCACUGAAGAAGAGCACGUGAGCUUAACCACUCAGCCAUGGGGCUGACCACUGUGGCCAUCUUUCUUCUCCACCUUAUUCACUCAGGCAGUAUUUACAGAGACAUUCUUCUAGGCCUAGUGUCUUGCCUUAGUCCAUGAAACUGAGUCAAACUACCCACGCCACUACCUUCCCAUCCAAUGCAACAAAGUCACCAGUAAUAUCUGAACUCUUUGACAGCUGUCCCCCCAACUAACUCUAGUCCAUUUGAUUCCAAACCUGCUGCCACCCAGGUGCCUAUGCCUCACACUCCCUAGACUCACAGUCUGAAUUGACAGAUUGACUCCAGUUCUGGCACAUCAUAAAUCUCUCUUUGCUCCAGAUUUUCCUCCAGGCAUUUGGACUCAGGCCCUCCUCUCUCUUCCCUUAAUUGGUUUGUUGCUUCAGCUCCGUCAUCACCUAUUUCUCCUCCCAGUCUGUUUGGAGUCUCACCUCUGCUUUGGACCUAGACCAUUGGGAUGAU
RNAcentral lists this long non-coding RNA (2268 nucleotides) under Equus asinus (donkey). RNAcentral's name for it is "lncRNA (ENSEASG00005038515.1)". The record is from RNAcentral. Lineage: Eukaryota; Metazoa; Chordata; Mammalia; Perissodactyla; Equidae.